Vidua chalybeata is the source of this 8010-nucleotide long non-coding RNA. RefSeq lists it as uncharacterized. The record is from RefSeq and is a predicted model, not a curated record. NCBI's taxonomy places the organism in Eukaryota, Metazoa, Chordata, Aves, Passeriformes, Viduidae. The transcript is spliced from 3 exons.
GGGCGGGGGACAGGGCGGGCGGGCUCGCACCGCCCCCGCUCGCCCGGCCUCUGCGUCCCCCUUGCGUCCCGUCAGCCGCGUCACUCCGGUUCGUGGUGCUGCCGGCGUUGCACGUGUGCCAGGGAGUAAGCCCCAAAUAAGUGCUGCGGAGGUGAAUCAGACUGCAAAAAGGAUCUUGCUUUUCCCUCCGCAGGAGGAGAUGGGGAAGUCAGAGUCGUCCUGCUGGAGAGUUUUCCUGUCAUCUCACUUCAGCCCCAUUCCUGCUGUCUCUCGAUGGUUCACUGUAGCCACAGCACUCUGACCUGACACAUCCAUGUCACAGUGCCUUCUCCACACCGAUCCCAACGCCAAGCCAAGCCUCCCUAUGAUGCAAGUUGGAAACUUUACCAAAGCCCACGGACCAGCAGUGAAUAAUGUCAGCCAGAGAUCUGGCUCACAAAGUUCUUAAUGCCUUUAAGCUAGCAAGGCCAAAUGGUAAGCAAGUGGUGUUUUACAGUCUCUGUGGAUACACAAAACAUGGAAGAUUAAGGACAGAGCAGCCUGGGCUUUGCCAAAGACCCAGCCAAAAGAAAGGCCGAGCAGAGGCUUGCGAGACAAUAGAGGAAGCUUGCUGAGCUUCCCAAAACCAGCUGCACUCUAGCUUUCCAAGCUGCACGAGUCCACCCCAAACCCCAGGAGCACUCGCCUUGCCUGGGAUUACGUGUCAUGUUAUCCAGAUGUUGGAAAUCUUGCUUCAAGCACAUGUGACCCCGUGUGUUUGGAACAAGCCUCCACUGCCAGUUCACUCUUUGUUUCCAAGUGUGUGAAUUCCUCUUUUAGCUUGUGGUUUCUGCUGAAGAAGCAGAUAAAUCAUGGCUAUUUUGCUGGAAUGGCUGGAUGAGAGGAAGAUAGGCAUGUAGGACAUACAGGGCAGUGGCUCACGGCUGUUUGGCUUCUUUCACACAAGGGGUGGAGCCUCCUUUCCCGGUUCCCAGAACUUGUUCUCUGAUGCUUGGCUCUCUCCCCAACCUCUUCCAGUGCCACAGUGUUGCACAGGGUGCCCAGCCCCAUCAGAGCAGGCGUUUUUCCCUGUGUGCACAGAAACCCUCAGGAAAGCAGCCUCCUGAGCUAGUACCUUCAUGAUAUCCCAGGAGCCAGAUGGGGCAUCAGCAGCUUGCCGAUGCCAAAACAAAUCAUGUUGCAGCAGCAGGAGGGAACCUUGGCUCUUGGCUGUACCGAGGGACCCAGGCCAGCUGCAGACCUCUGCCCCAACCCCAGCUGAGUGUCCCGCUGCCUCUGCGUGUUGGUUCCACAUCUGGAGCCAGCACAGCUUGCCCUCGCUCCCCAUCCUGCCCGUCUGGAAUCCAGGUCACUUGCACAAGGACCUCCUUUACACUGGCUUCUUGUGCCUGGAGGCUGGGACAGCAGGGAAACCAGGGGGAACAGGGAGAAACCACCUUCAGUCAAGGAAAACAGAACUCUUAAAAAAAUACAGCUACAAAGUAACCCAGCUCUAGAAGCAGAAGGUUUGACGUGGAUGGUCGAUGCACAAAUGAACUCCAGUUCGCUGCCAAGGCUUACUGCAGAGAAAGUAGUAAACAGAACAGCUUACAGCACCUUUGGGGUUAUACAGUUCCCUUCUUCAUCUCCAGCACUUGCAGAUGAUUUCCCCACAUGUUGUCCCUUAACAUCCACCCACUCCCGCCUUCUUUUUGGCCCAGGCUGGUCGGGAAGACCUCAGGCAAACGGUGUCAAAGCGAACUCGUCAUAUUUGGGGAGCAAGCAGUUGGGAGGAGAAGUCACCCUUGCUGUAACCUGGCUGUGAGCCUGGCCCUGCCCGUGGGUCCUCAGGAAUGCUGCAGCAGAAAGGUGGUGGCUGGGGGGGAAAUCCUUCAGUGCUGUGGUGAGAUGACCUCAGGACUGGAGUCAAACAGCGGCUUGGUGGCCACACAGGCUGUCUUUUGCGUAGACUACAGAGGGUCAGCAGGGCUUUGUUGCUUGAUAAAUCCAGUUCAGGUCCAGGAUACCUCUGCCCAACAGCUGUGAGCCCUCCUGCUUCCUUCAGCAUGCUCAGUGAUUGCCAACAUUUGGAAAAAUCAAACUCGGGUGUGUCUGUGAGUGCAGCUGCCAUGCUGAUUAACUAAAUCUCCUUUCUGACUCAGGUCUGGGAUUGUCUUUCUGCCAAAUGAUCCAGGGGCAGCAUGGAAUGGGAUGUCUCCACAGCACUGGGACCAGACAGUGCUUCCAGAUAUUCUGAGCUAUGCAAACCCAAGGACAGGUGAUGAUGAUGACGGGGAGCCUUAAGCCAGGGCAGCUCACAGGAGAAUAUUUUUCUUCUCCCCUCACAGGAUAUGAACCACACAUGGAAGUCUCAUGCUUUGUAAAAGGAAAGAGAAACCAGAGGGCCUCCAGCAGUUACACAACAUGCAGGAGCUGUUUGAGAGCUGCCUCCUGAAGGAUUAACUACAAAUCCUUGUUCCCUUUACAGCUGUAGCCUUGUGUCUGUGCACAUCCUGUAAAGCAGCGUAGAAAUUAAUAAAUAAAAAGGACAGCAUUAAGUAACACAGGAACUCUCGUGUCCAUGUGGUACUGCCUGCAUCAUCCAGAUGGAAAGUAUCUGUCUAGACAAAUCUGGGAAUUAUGCAAGCUCAGAAUUCCUGAAUAGGUCUUCCUUUCCAACAUCAUGAAACAUUUGCAGUGCCCACUGAAAAUACUCAUAGAAACACAGGGGGGAAUGAAACCCUUCAAUUCCAACAGCCAGGAAACCUAAACACUAGGAGUAUGUUGGAUGAGAGAAGGUCUUAGUGCAGGAAUAUGGAGCAGUGUCCCUGCUGUGUGCACGCUGACUCAUCCCUGAGGAGCCAGGAUGAUCCCUGGUGCUCCCUCCUGUCUCAGCAGAAGCGGAGCAGGCUCCGUUGGGCUUCUUGUGGUUCUCUGCUGCCUGAUGCCCUGGAAAAGGCGCAGAGUCGCUUGUUUCCACUUUUCCAAAGCUGUUUGUUUCCACGGUGCUCAGACAAGCAGAAGGAAUGAAGACAAAGAGGGAAAGAUGGGCUGUCCUGGUUCAAACCACAACAGCAUAAAAAUAAAUCACUCUGCCUAGGAGAGCAAAAAAAAAAGCAGGACGGAAACAUGGAAAUCCCACUCUGGCUCGGCAGCUGCUGCUGGCUCUGAUCAACACCCAGGGAUCACCGGGGCUGGGAGUUUAGCACAACUCUAGAGUUGUAGUGACCCUUUUUGGUGUUCUUGGGAAACAACGGCCCAGCCAGAGGAGACAGAAGAAUGGAGCAGCCAGGAACUCUCCCUGCAGAGCAGUGCAACCCAGGGAAAAGAUGACACAAUUCCAAAUAUUAUAUGGAGAAAAAUAAUUUUUUAAAAAGCACAGAUCAUGAUCCAGCAGUCAUCCAGUUUCUAGCAGUUUUAUCACUGACUCCAGGGGGACAGGUUCAAACCUUCCACAGGUGCAUCCAAACAGAAUCAUCACUUGUGUUCAGUUUGGGGUCACACUGGAGGAAAAAGGGCUGACAUUUAUCCAUCUGGCCUGGCCCCUUUGGCCCUGCAAAGGAGAGCAAGAGAGAGCAUUGUGUCAGUUCUGUCCUGCCAGGCCCAGGAGAGAAAGAGUAAAGAGCUACUGGCAGGUUGAGUGAUAAAACAACUGCUUGUACCACUGUUUGGGGGCACUCAGGGCAACAUUUAUGCAGGGCCAGGGGGGCUGCAGCAGGACAUCGUGCCUGAGCCACCGUUGGAUCAGCAGCCCGGAAAGCAGAUGUGCCAAUUUCCUGUCCUUGAUGAUGAUGGGCCCUAAUUACGCCAGAACUGUGGCAAUGUCCUUUCUAGUGUAUGACCCCUAAUUUGGUUUCAUGAAGUCAUCUGUGCCAGGUUCUUCCGGCUGCAAGGCUGGGGCGAGUGACAGUCACGAAGAGCCGUGUGCUCUGUGCGCCCAAACACCUGGCCCAUGCUUUGAUCGAACAAAAUUCGACUGGGAACAAACAAAAUUCAGGCAACCCACUGGGAGCUGGGUCGUUUGCUUGGCUUGCUUUACCUCUUGCAGGUUGUCAUGCCUGCUGACAGGGAGCUGUGUGCUGGGGGGAACAUUCCAAGACAGGUGUCGGUACUCAGCAGAGACCAGCACUUCAGAGAGGCUUGUGGGGGGAAGAAUUUUGGAAGUGGAGGGGAAAAUCCCUCCCCCUUUGUUUUCCCACCAGGGAGAUUCCCUUGCUAGCAUUGCUGCUGGUGCUUUUUUCAACUUUUCACCAUUCCUUUCCAUGGUUUUGGCCUUUAUUUAGGGCUUUUUUUCCCCUUUUCCCCCCUCAUUUUCUGUCCCGCUCAUAAUUCCCCAAUUUUGAAGAUUGCCAGCAGAGCAUUUUUUAGUUUAUGUAUCAAAACAGAGGCUUUUAUAAGUUUGGGAGAGGUUUUUGGGAUGGCAUUGUGGGAGGUUUUUCAGCUUUGAGGAAGCUUCUUGGUGUUUAGAAUACUUUUCGUUUUUCUUUCCUUCUUUUCCCCAGGAGCUCUUUGUGGAAUUAGACAUUUGUCUUUCAAUGUAGCUCCUGCUUUGCAUGGGUGGGGUCACUGCUCCUGAGCCCAGCCACACGCCCCAGGAACUGUUUGUCGUUCCUUGAUUGUGGGGCUCUGAUUAUUGUACCAGCAGCUCCCAUCUCUGGGAUCCCCAAGCCUGGGGAUCACCCGGGCUUGCUGCUGCUGCUGCUGGGAGAGGAUGAUGCUUGGGCAUUUGGCACAGAGGUGCCGUGGAGGUUUGCAGGGCAGUGAGAGGAGGAGGUACUGCUCCCAGGACAUCAGGGAUGUGCAGCGGGGGCUUGGUGGCCGUGUGGCACCUGCUUCUUCCUAUGCCUGGUGGAGCAGGUGCUGUCCUGAGGAAGACAUGGUGCUGGCACAGGUGGGACUGGGGUCUGGCCUGUGGGAGCCUGCUGCAGUAAAGAGCUGGAGAAGCAGGGUUUGGGGCUAUGUAGCACUAAGAGGAGCAGGUGGAGAGAUUACAGACUUUUGGUGGAGUUUCUGCAGGGACCUGCCUGCAGAUAAGGGGCAGUGCGCAUGAGAGGAGGGCUGGCUGGAGGUGGUGCUGCCGUGAAAGGGGAUGGAAGCUCCACAGUGGGACUGGGUGGCAGCUUGUAUCACCUGGAAGCUGAAGAAGGGCUCUGACCUGCUUUUUGUUGCAAGUGAGGGAAGGAGCACUGUGGAGUGAGGCUCUAGGUGCUGGGCAUGCAGAGUGGGAGGGACUGGAGAGUCGUUGUGAGGGGUCAGACAGCUCUGAGGAAUGCUUAAGCAGGUCCUUGUGACAUGGCCAGUAUGGGAAGAGCAGAACUUCCAAAUGUGUCUGCUGGUCCAGGAUACCAUGUACAAACUGGGGUGGAUGGAUCUGGGAUCAGUGUGUGAGAAGGAUUGCCCUCUGUGGGUGCACAGCUGCUCAGGGGCAGGCUGGCUGUGUGCCUGAGGCUGGGAGAGGCAUGCAGCAGAGUGUAGGGGAACUUUGUCACCACACAGCUGAGUGCUGGGGCAGGACAGCCAGAGUGGCUUGGUUGAGAUCACAGUCACAGAAUAUUCCGAGUUGGAACGGACCCAUGAGGAUCACUGAGUCCAGUUCUUGAGUAAAUGGCCCAUGUGGGGAUGGAACCCACAACCCUGGCAUUUUAAGCACCAGGCUCUCAAGAACCAAGCUAAUUUGGGGUCAGCUCACUUCAAAGUUUUAAGACCCAACUAGAUUUUUGAUCUGGUCUUGGUGUUGGCCCUGCUUUGAGCAGGAGGUAAAACCAUCCGAGGUUCUUUCCAACAUAACUGGGUGAUUUUCCUUCUUGCCUACAGCCCCUGCACUUGGCUGCAGCACCGUUCCUCUGCCCUGUGUAAUCUCAGGUUAGUGAAGAUUUGUACACCAAACUCCAGCCAGACUGUCUAGAGGAUGUGCCUGGGGAAACAUCACUUUGAGAAGGUGGGAUGGGAUUUUUAUUGUCAUCUCCUGACAAUUUACAUUUACAGUCAUCUCCUGGCUCUGCUGCUGUCACACCACAGGGCAGAAAGGGUGUGUGUAGGAGUGUUUGCUGGCUGACUCAGGGCCCUGUCUGGUUAUUCACCAGCCAGAUCACACCGGUGACUUGGCAUAUAUCAGCCUUGCCCUGUUCAUGUGAGCUGCUCCCCUGGCUGCCUGCAUGACAAGUGUUUCUGAUCACCAGUGUGACUGUGCUGGCCUCAAGACAGGAGUGAAGUGGCUGGGAUGUGUCUUAUCUGACUGGUGUUUACAUCUGUGUGACUCUGAGUUACCUUUUCCUCAAUUUCUCCACAUGUAAGAAGUUUAACUUAUAUGCACUCAUGUCCUGUUGUCUGUCAUUCAAGGUUUUAUCCUUUUCUCUUCUUCCUAUGUCUGGGCAGUUAAGAUGGGUGGAGGUGGAGCAGUGUUGAUUGAAUUGCAGGCUUCAUUUUCUGCAGUGCUGUUGGCAGAGCAACAAAUGCUACAAGGGCAGGAAGGGUCAUGUCCCUUCCCCCAGGGACAAGCUGGUGAAGCAGCUUGGCAAGGAUCUUGUAUGUUUUAAUGGAUCAGCUUAGCAGGGUGCAGAAAAUGAUGUGCUUGGCACUGCUUUUGGGGAACAGGUAGAGUUGCCACAUGGCAACAGCCACAGGAAGAGAGCUGGGGUACUAAACUGUCAUCCCCCAUGGGGCAGUAUUUUCAUGGUCCAAUUGAAUUCUUGUGCCUGUAAGAAGACCUUUUAAAGGAAAUGCUUUGCUCAGCAAAGCUAACCAAGAAGCAGAAUAGCUCAUGGUAAAAUGGUGCUAUGGCACCAUAGCCCAAGACACAUGUAGUGACCAUGUUGAGCAGGAAGGGCCUUCAGUCCCUGCUGAGGAUAUGCAAAGACGUGGUUUAGUUCCUUGGAAAACUCAUUUCCUGAGUCGGAGACAGUGAUGAGUCGGUGUGCAUUCACCUGGGCAGCUCAUCUUGUGGCACAGACAAGCCAUGUUGCAUGAGCUCCUUGGUAGCUCCCUGCCAGUCCUGUGCUCUCCCUCUCCCUCUACUCAGGAGCACUUGUUUUGCUUACUAUUCCAGGAUUUUGUGCUCCUGCCCUCGCAAGAACCGUCAGAACCAGCUGUGCUUCAGAGAAUAAGCCAGAGUCACCGUGGGCUUGGAGAGGUACUAGGAACAAGUACCCUCCCAGAGCUUCUGAGCAGAGGAAAAUGGAGCCUCUCUUCCCAGAGAAUGAUGUUUGUAGCAGUGCCAAGCAGAUGCUCCUUCCUUCCACCUCUGGUCUCCACAUCUCUCGUAGGGCAGGGCGGGGAGUGCCCAGCCUGCCCUGGGUGUGCAGCUGCCCCUUUGGGCUGUGAACCAAGUUGUCAGGGCCAGCACUGAGCCCACUAUGUCACGAGCCAGGCGGCUGUCUGGGCUGCAGCAGGUAGACCCCCAGAGGGGAAGGACAUCUGAGCCAGGCUGCCCCCUGAGCAGGUCAGCACAGCUCCCUCCCCUGGCCCGGGCGGUUUUCCCGGCUGUCCUGGCAUCAAUUUCCCCGUGUUGUUCUGUGUGUCCUCCAUGAGCACAAGCAGGCCAUUUGCUGCAUUAGCCUCAUUAUGUUUCCUUUCCAAAAAGCAUCCACCGCUGUCUGCCUUGUGGUUUGGAAAGGGGUUAACACUUUCCCCUCCCAAACCUCAGCUCACCAGCACAUCUCCCUUGUGCUGCAAUUAUUGAAUGACACUUCACAACUUCAUCUCCUCUCCUGCUACAUCUGCUUGCUGCUCCCAUGUGCAACCUAGCUCACAUCCCAAACAUCUAAAUGCAUUGUUUCCUCUGUUUCUCCUGCCAGCAUGGAAAGGAGCCAUCCCUGAAGCAGGAUUGCCUUUGAGCUGGCAGCAGACGAGUGAUUGGCGUUGGGCAGCACUGCUGAGACUCUGGCAGGCCGUUUAGCAGAGAACCUUGGCUAAUGAAUGUCAUCCACACCUAGCAGAUGUGCCACUGCCUGCCGUGCCAGAUUUUUGACAUAAUACAGGGUUGCUGGACACAACAGUGCUCGGGAAAAGCCAGGGAGCGACUCGUGCCUUCAA